Molecule: ribosomal RNA, 429 nt
Filed under: Bacillota bacterium
Lineage: Bacteria; Bacillati; Bacillota
Description: Firmicutes bacterium partial 16S ribosomal RNA
Rfam family: Bacterial small subunit ribosomal RNA
Source: RNAcentral
UAGGGAAUCUUCCGCAAUGGACGAAAGUCUGACGGAGCGACGCCGCGUGAGCGAAGAAGGUCUUCGGAUCGUAAAGCUCUGUUGUUAGGGAAGAAGAAGUGCCGUUCGAACAGGGCGGCGCGGUGACGGUACCUAACGAGAAAGCCCCGGCUAACUACGUGCCAGCAGCCGCGGUAAUACGUAGGGGUCGAGCGUUGUCCGGAAUGACUGGGCGUAAAGGGUACGUAGGCGGCCAGGUAAGUCAGGUGUGAAAGUCUAGGGCUCAACCCUAGUGAGCACUUGAAACUGCUUGGCUUGAGUCGAGGAGAGGAAGGUGGAAUUCCUGGUGUAACGGUGAAAUGCGUAGAUAUCAGGAGGAAUACCAGUGGCGAAGGCGACCUUCUGGCCUUGGACUGACGCUGAGGUACGAAAGCGUGGGGAGCAAACAGG